GAAAUGCGAUAAGUAAUGUGAAUUGCAGAAUUCAGUGAAUCAUCGAAUCUUUGAACGCACAUUGCGCCCGCCAGUAUUCUGGCGGGCAUGCCGUUCGAGCGUCAUUUCCACCAUCAGGCCCCCGGGCCUGUGUUGGGGACCUGCGGCUGCCCGCAGGCCCCGAAAUUCAGUGGCGGUCGCGCCGUAGCAACCGAGCGUAGUAACUAAAACGUCUCGCUCUGGCUCGCUGGGCGCGCUCCGGCCGUAAAACACCCCCCCUUUUCGCAAAGGUUGACCUCGGAUCAGGUAGGAAUACCCGCUGAACUUAAGC
RNAcentral lists this unclassified non-coding RNA (310 nucleotides) under plant metagenome. RNAcentral's name for it is "partial contains 5.8S ribosomal RNA, internal transcribed spacer 2, and large subunit ribosomal RNA". The stretch from base 1 to 104 matches the Rfam family "5.8S ribosomal RNA", at positions 50 to 154 of the family's 154-position model. The record is from RNAcentral.